This 881-nucleotide ribosomal RNA is filed under the name Tsukamurella sp. BPSEAC31. Its description in RNAcentral is "bacterial SSU rRNA". It matches the Rfam family "Bacterial small subunit ribosomal RNA", at positions 67 to 962 of the family's 1533-position model. The record is from RNAcentral. Lineage: Bacteria; Bacillati; Actinomycetota; Actinomycetes; Mycobacteriales; Tsukamurellaceae.
CGGUAAGGCCCUUUCGGGGGUACACGAGUGGCGAACGGGUGAGUAACACGUGGGUGACCUGCCCUGUACUUCGGGAUAAGCCUGGGAAACUGGGUCUAAUACCGGAUAUGACCUUCUCCUGCAUGGGGGUUGGUGGAAAGCUUUUGCGGUACAGGAUGGGCCCGCGGCCUAUCAGCUUGUUGGUGGGGUAAUGGCCUACCAAGGCGACGACGGGUAGCCGGCCUGAGAGGGCGACCGGCCACACUGGGACUGAGACACGGCCCAGACUCCUACGGGAGGCAGCAGUGGGGAAUAUUGCACAAUGGGCGAAAGCCUGAUGCAGCGACGCCGCGUGAGGGAUGACGGCCUUCGGGUUGUAAACCUCUUUCAGUAGGGACGAAGCGCAAGUGACGGUACCUACAGAAGAAGCACCGGCCAACUACGUGCCAGCAGCCGCGGUAAUACGUAGGGUGCGAGCGUUGUCCGGAUUUACUGGGCGUAAAGAGCUCGUAGGCGGUUUGUCACGUCGUCUGUGAAAACCCGAGGCUUAACCUCGGGCCUGCAGGCGAUACGGGCAGACUUGAGUACUGUAGGGGAGACUGGAAUUCCUGGUGUAGCGGUGGAAUGCGCAGAUAUCAGGAGGAACACCGGUGGCGAAGGCGGGUCUCUGGGCAGUAACUGACGCUGAGGAGCGAAAGCGUGGGUAGCGAACAGGAUUAGAUACCCUGGUAGUCCACGCCGUAAACGGUGGGUACUAGGUGUGGGUUUCCUUCCACGGGAUCCGUGCCGUAGCUAACGCAUUAAGUACCCCGCCUGGGGAGUACGGCCGCAAGGCUAAAACUCAAGGAAUUGACGGGGGCCCGCACAAGCGGCGGAGCAUGUGGAUUAAUUCGAUGCAACGC